Molecule: ribosomal RNA, 413 nt
Filed under: uncultured bacterium
Lineage: Bacteria
Description: bacterial SSU rRNA
Rfam family: Bacterial small subunit ribosomal RNA
Source: RNAcentral
GUGCCAGCCGCCGCGGUAAAACGUAGGAGACGAGCGUUAUCCGGAUUUACUGGGCGUAAAGAGCGUGUAGGAGGCAAUACAAGUUGGAUGUAAAAGCUCUCGGCUAAACUGAGAGAGGACGUUCAAGACUGUAGAGCUAGAGGAAGGCAGAGGUAGAUGGAACUCCGGGAGUAGUGGUGAAAUGCGUAGAUAUCCGGAAGAACACCAGAGGCGAAAGCGAUCUACUGGGCCUUAACAGACACUGAGACGCGAAAGCCAGGGUAGCAAACGGGAUUAGAGACCCCGGUAGUCCUGGCCGUAAACGAUGUAGACUAGGCGCUUGUCGGGCAAAACCGGUGAGUGUCGAAGCGAACGCGAUAAGUCUACCGCCUGGGGAGUACGGUCGCAAGAUUAAAACUCAAAGAAAUUGACGG